Molecule: long non-coding RNA, 8300 nt
Organism: Bombus huntii
Lineage: Eukaryota; Metazoa; Arthropoda; Insecta; Hymenoptera; Apidae
Exons: 3
Source: RefSeq, a predicted model, not a curated record
UUAAUAUACUUUCUUAAUUUAGUAAGACACCUCGACGAAAGCUGCGUGCAAUCGCAAGAGCAUAACAGCGUGAAUACAGCCGUCAAGCGAACUGACUAAUUUUUUAAAAAAUAUUAUAAUAUACGUAUAAUACGAUCGGUAGACUGUGGAUUUUUAUGCAAUCGUGAGAAAUUUAAAGAUAUAAAGACGCAUAGAAUGCGCAUGACAUACGCAAAAACGUAUAAAAUAUUCAAAGUAUACUUUUCAUAAUGUUUAAUAAGUAAAUUGAAUUUCUGCCUAGGUCCUACUCCUUCCACCGUAUUCGCGAAAAUAUGAAUUUGCAUAAAAAUCCGCAGACCAGUGGUCGGUAACAAUAUAAGAACAUAAUACGUUACAAAAGAUUGUCAAUCCUUAUACGAAUACGUGGUGCAAAAUAUAUAAUAUGACAAGAUCUAACAUUUCACAAAAAUUCAUCCAACAACUAGGAGAAAUAAUUAAAAAUACUGAAAAAUUGCUGCAGUCAUAUACGGUAAUUCGGUGCGUUUCCAUCAGAAAAAAAACAGACAUUUCAAGCCAUAAAAUUAAAUCCUUUAGCUCGUAUAUCACGUAUUCAAGUCUGUACAGGGGAAGCUUAUCAAAAAAACUUUACCAAGUCUUCCUACGUCAUUAGCGCAUAUUUUGGUACAUACGUGUAUAAAAUUACAAGACACUGUAAAAGUAUUUCUCCACAUGAGAAUAUCAAACCUUGGUGCAGCACGGUAGCUUGAUUUUUUUUUUAAUGUUUCCCUUCGUUUUGGCGAAGAUUUAACGAGGAAAUUAACCACCUGCAGUUUAACUACGUAAAUGGUUAUUUUAUGAAAUAUUUCUGUCCAAAUAUUUACCAGAUUACCGAAGUCGCUGGUUAAAACGAUAUAACAAAUUAAAUUAUAAAAGAGUCGAAUACCAGGUGGAGGGAAAACAUGUACUUCGGUAAAUUAAAAAUCAGAAAUUAGGUUCUUCCUAGGAAAAUCACAAUUUAUUAUAUUUCUUCGAAUGGUGCAAUUUUGCGUUGAAAAAAUUUUCACAAGACAAUUAACAAUUUCCCCAAUCUUGAGCUGACGUACUACUGAAUCAAUCUCUUUGUUUACGUUCAAAGAAGAAACUCACUCGCGACAUCGAAUGUUCGUAAAUGAUAACGAUCGAUUUUACGUCGACAGGAUUGAUCGCAGGGCCUAUGUUGAUUGCAUAUUUCUCGCUCUACUCGCCGAGUAUCAUAAACCCUUAAAGUAUCGCAUCCUCUUUCUUUUUUCACACGCGACAUAUAGAUAGAUGAGAAGUCUAGUCCUGGUACGAUUUUUUUUGCCAUCUGCUUCGUAUGUAAUUUCGCAAUAUUUUCCUUUCGGCAGUGAGAUUUCUGAAAGGCACGAAAUCCGGAUCUAAUUCCAGCUCACACACGGGUUAAGUGCAAACGAAAUCGCGAGUCGAUCGUUAAUCCCGGCGCGCGGCAACGACUUAAUACGUUGGGCAAACCGUUUCGUGCGCGGCGUCAGCCGUUGAGAACCGAGCCUAAGUCCCUGGGAAAUUACUCCGGGCGGGGCUGAGCAGUAUGCAGAUCGCGAAAUCGCGACAUACGUCGGGGAUUAGCUCGGUGGAGACUGCUAGCUAAAGAGGAUCCGCGAAAUCGGCAGAUCGAAAUGUCCCUAGGAAUCCUAUUUAACUUACUCCGCGGCGAGACGACCCCGCCCUUCGCUAUAAUUUGUGUAAUCGCGCCGUUCGCGGCGCACAGCCCACAGGAUUUUCACUCCCGUGAUAGAUUCGUCUUUGGAACGGGAGACUUUCGGGCUUGCUCACGUUUCUCCGGGAUUUCCAGCGUCUUCUGGGAAAAUUGUUCGUCAUGAGAAAUUCGUUUACUCGCGUUGCGUCGAUAUAGCUUGAUUUCGAGGAUUAGAAACGACUUUCGAGGAUUAGGUCCGCAGAGAAAGAGAGAGAAAGGGAGAAAAUAUCAUUUUUCAUAUUUUAUAAUUUUAUUUUAUAAAGAGGAUUUUUAUACUCUUCUAGCGAGACUUUCGACCGUGUGAUUCGUUUUUCAGUUUUGUGACUUCACUCUGGACAAUUUUUCGACUUUGCCAGCGAUAGUUCUAAUCGUAAGAAAUUCUCUAAUUUACGUUAUUUACAAGCAUUGCUUGGUCACUCUAACGUACUUUUCCAAUUGCUUGAAUUUAUUCUGCGAGAUUUCUCCGAUCUUUCGCUGGAGCUUUUCACCGUAGAGAAUUCAAGAUCCGACUACACACCUAACAACUUCAAGUUUGACCUAAUAGAUUACUUAACAAACUCGAAAUUACGUAUUAUUAACCUAAAUUACGUAUAUACAACAUUUUAUACAGACAUUAUUUCCCACGAAUCACAGUUUUUAGAUACUUUGGAACAUUUCUGAACUUCCUCGCCGACCAAUUUAGAAGAGGAUCAAACCUCUUAGAUACUUGGACGUUAAACGAAAUAUUUGAACGAAUGAUCUGCCAUUUUUAUCGAUGUUUGUUUCGACGCGCCUUUAAAGCACCGUUUGGUCCAUGGCACGACAUCAAUCAUCCUUCGUAAUUUAACACGUGGAACAAUCGACAGCUGCGACCGUAAAUGGAUUUACCGGCACGUAUGUACGGAUGACCGCAAUAAUGAUUCGUUCAAACAGAAUUAUGCACGACCGAUGCCACGAUAACGACGCCGCUAAACGUGGACAAAUCGCUGUUACACAAUUCCAAGCCGGUGACUGGCGUCCCCCGGAACCAACCAUCGGCAAAAUCGAUCGAAGCAGAGAUUGGCUAUCGUCUUUCUUAAUGUUCUCAGUAUUUGAUACUCUAUUGUUAGCUUCCAGAUAGAUUAUAGCGGUGUGCCGUGACAGUGGUCGAGGAAAAGAAACAAAAAUUUCCUUUGCUUUUUAAAAAGAGCGAAGGAAGAUUACUUUCAGCCACCUAAGAUUCCACUAUUCCACUAAGGCACUGUAAAAGUAUUUUUUCUACGUGAGAAUAUCAAACCUUGACGCAGCACGGUAGCUUGAUUUUAUUAAAUGUUUAGCUACGUAAACGAUUAUCUUAUAUAACAAAUUGAAUUGUUAAAAGAAUCGAAUAUUGCCAGUUGGAGAAAAAACACGUACUUAGGCAAAUGAAAAAUCAGAAACUAGAUUCUUCCUGAGAAAAUCACAAUCUAUUACAGUUUAGCACUGGGCCAGGGUUACUCGUCGUCAUUAACAUACCGUACAAGCUCGUAGAAAAGAUAAAAUCUAGUUACGAACACAUAUUUCUUCAAAUAGCGCAAUUUCACGCUAAGAAAGUUUUCGGAUUUAAUCGGACGCGAGAGUCUUAUAUUCGCCUUAACGUUCAUCUACGAUAGCGUUUCACGAUCUUUACGCAGAUUACAGCGACGCAUGCGACGCGAGAUUUUCACGGUCCGUAAAAGUGAAAAGAGGAAGGGAAAACAUCCAUCGACCGGUCUCACGCAACGAAGCUGUCGCCCUUCGUUCGCACACGAUCUAACGCGAUUUUUAUCGCCGGCAGCAUGGUCACGCGACGCGCGGCAAACUCGAAUUCCGGAUGAAAGACCAAGGGAACCGCAACCAGCGAGAAAGUUUCGCGGAAACGCGAUAAAAACGAGACUCGGUUUACGAUGAUGGAUGAUCAAGGAGGCAGGGUUUAGAUCUUACUUUCUUUCCACGUCGUUUAUUCGUCUUGUUGGCGGACGACAGCGGUUCAUAACGACGACGAAAGUAUUUGCACACUCGUGGACACUUUUCCCGAAUACGUCGUGUCUGUUAGGUAUACGAACCAUUUCGAAAUUCCAUCGAAUUUCGCGACUAUUAGGUACAUACAAGUAUAUACGGGGAAAUGAAACGUUAAAUUACGAAAAAAAAAAAGAUACAAGAAAGAAGAUUACUCAAACACCGAUCGCUCGAAAAGUUGAUAAAACGUACGAGCAGUGCUCGAAAUUGCUUCAAGUUUAUAAAAGUGCAUGAAAAUAUUUGAAAUCAAAAUAUCACGUUUUACUCGUUCAAUACGCAUAUUGGCGAGGCAAGUGUUAACAAAGUUAUAAUUACUACACAAUUAAUAUAAGAGUAGUAUUUUAUAAUUAGUACAACGUGUUAUAAUUUCGAUUAAAUAGUUGAAUUUCGCCACAUCGAUCAAACGUCAGUUUGAAAUUUAACCAGGUGGUAAUUCUUCGUUAAAAGCUGAAAAUGAAUGAAAAGGGGAAGACUAGAAAAUGCCAUUAACAAUAGCGUUUUAAUACGUAUCGCUGGAACUAAUUCGGAACAGCAAGAGAAACAGCGUUUCGAACGAAAUUAAUCCAUUCUACCAUUAUUCGCCUGCUGCGUGCCGUUUAAAUUGACAAGUUCCUAAUUCACCUAGAACUGCGACGUAUAUAUACGAUAUCUCUGUUAUAAAUUAAUAUAUCACAGAGUCAGGUUUGUGUUUUGGAUGAGACGGGAAUAACUUCAAUCUUCGUACGAUUGUUGGUUUAUUGUUCACGAGUUGCAUUACGCCUCGCGUAUCCUUACCUGCAUUUACAUUUCUCGGAUUUCUAUGAUAAUCAAUAGACCGUAGAUUUCUAUGACGAUUAACAGAGAGCGGGGUUCUAUAUAAUAUAAUAUAAUAUGCAAAAGCAUUCAAAAUAUCGAGAGUGUAGUAAUUAUUAUAAUAUUCGAUAGAUGAAAUAACGAGGAAUCUUGCGUCGAGUGAUACUUUGCGACGAGACAUCGAUCAUUACGAAUUUUCUGGCGAAACAUGUGAAAAUUCGUUAACGCGUCGGUUCAAAAAUUCUUCUUCGUGUUCGAUCCGAUAUGGUGGAUGAUACAUUUCAGAAAAUUCUUACCACCGCGGCUUAUUUUUCUCGCGAUCGAUCCUUGGAAACGGCGAUGGAUAAUUGCACACAUCAGGAUUGGAUUUCCGAAUCCAACGAUAUUGGCCAUAUCCAACGAGCCAUACAACUGUCAUAAAGUGACUGUAACAGCCAACAGUUGGGCCACCACUUUCGUAUGUGCAGUAAUAUUCCGCGAUUGAUGUUCAUCCGGUUUCAACCUCGUCGAAAAGUAUUAAAAUGCGGUGAUGGCUUUCCACUAUGAUAAAAUCAUUAUUAUUAAAGCUAUGAACAUCGCUUUAGUUUUGAAAAUUUACUUUAUACCCUUUUACGUUAGGAAUAUUAGACGAAAGUUCUAUGAAAAUUCGAAUACCUUUCGACAUACGAAGAUCUAAAUUGAAAUUCGUCUUUCGCGGCAGUCGGCGAAGCCUCUGGCAAUAAUUUCUUAAACUAUUAACUUCACUUAUCAAACUAUUAAAAUUUUCACACUUUUCACCUCCUAUAUUCCAGCAAUUAAUUGUCCGUUCAACUGGGAAAGUCGUGGGGAAUUCGAUUCUUCUUACUUUUACUUCUAUUCUAUUCGUUUAAUUAGAUUUAUAAAAAUAUAAAUUCUACUAAUAACGAUUGGUCAAAAUGGUUACGUACAAUGCUCGUAAUAUGUUCGUAAGGAUAUUUCUCAAGUAAAAAAAAAAAAAAAAAAACUUUUCCAUAUUAACUAUUACGUUAUUCGCAUCGUUUAUCAUUCCAGCUGGUUGAUUUCACAAAGAUCCAAUGAGAUAUUUACUGAUCGAGAAGGCUAACUCAUUUCCCCGAAUUUUGGUUACAUCUAGGCAGUUAGGCUGCGAAGGGUAAUAGGACUUGAUGCAUGGCUCCCUGGAUGCCGGUCCCCUAGAUCUACCACCAUUCGUCCUGCCGCCGCGUCUUUCCCCUUCUCGAGCUCUUUAUUUAUUUAAAGCUCGUCACCGGGUCCGCGUGUCCCCAAGGAACCCGAAUGCUCGGGCGUAUUCCAGAGUUCGACGGUCGAUCAGGACGAUCCCUCUCGUUCCAGCCAAUUCUCUGUAGACCGAUCGCCACUUGGACGUCGUCUGCGGCCACCGCAGGCUGAAUAUCGAGGAUUUUUCGGCCACGGCCGAUUGCCUUUUCUCCUCGGAAUGUUCUAUUCCUUCUUUUCGAAAUAUGAUAGAAGAUUCGACGCGUUCAAUUUCCUGGUAACCACUUGUCAAGAACUAACCGAAGGAAGCUAGAAAAGUGGAGGAAAGCAGGGACAAAAGCUGAGAGUGCAAUCUACGAAAGAAGAGUUACAGCACAACGGAGGAUCCAUAACAAGAAGGAAAAUUCACGGUGAACCGGUAUCGAAAUCCCUUUCUUCCACGACCUUUCCGCUAGUCCGAGGGAUUAGCGAGAGGAUCGGGAACUGGUGAUUUGUAGACGACGGGCAAAUAGAUUUCUGGCAAGUAGAAUUUCGUCGACAAAAAAGAACCUGUUUGCAUGGUUUUGUACCGGAUAUACAUUGCCGAUUUUCUCGAGGUUUUCGCUUCGCGUAGUUACAUAGGAUACAACUUAUUCAUCUACUUGUUACGAAUAAACGCAUUUGCAACGACAGGUAAUCACCGGAUACGGACGCUAAGAGAAACAAAAGUGUCGCAAAAUAUAGAUGAAAAAGAAUAGCUACGCGGUAAAUUUAGAACGAAGAUAACGUCUCGUAGAUCACUCGCUUGAACGAUACGUCGCUGAUGGAGAAGAGAUCUACGCGGUUCGAAAACUUACCUCGACAGGAAAUAUCAGAGAUUUAGGAUAUCCAGAUGGAAAUAUGCAGACUUGGCAGUGUGGACGACUGCGUGCUGAAAUUGAACGUCGAAUUAUCUCGAGAAGCAUCGCGUGUUUCAUAAGGUAAGGGGACCAGAUGAACGAUGCGUAUUCCAAGUGGAGCCUGACUAACGACCAGUAUAAUAAUCUAAUCGUCGAAGGCUGGAUGAAAUCAGAGGAACAGCGUACAACGAGUCCUAAGGCUCUCGAGGAUGUGUUUCGGAUACCUUCGAAGCGAAUAGAGAAGGUUAGGUCAUACUGGCCACAUCCAUAAUGAUAGAGUCCAAGAUGACGGAUCACCGGAAAUGAAUAACUAAUAAUAAUCUUUUACCAUUUCACUCCAAUACUUUUCUACGUGGAACGACGAGAACGGUCUAUCUACGUAAAAAAACAAUAUGCAUCUCUAAUUGAAAAAAUCAUGCGAUUGUUGAUCGAAUAUACACCAUUGCACAACAGAAAACAAUAAACAGAAAAGAAACACGAUCCUACGAACGUAGUACUUCUUCUUUCGACAUCUUUCUCUAUCUACACCGGUAACGACGAUGUUACAACCCGAAACAAUUGCGCGUGAUCUAUUUUGUAUAUGUAAUAUAUACCAUAUAUAUUGUAAGAGGAUUAUUAAAAAUAUACGACAAGCAGUACAUUUGCAACGUCGAGUACGAUAAGUAGGUGAUAUCGGUAAAAAAUUACUUAUUUCCAAAGAAAAGCAGUAAAAAAAUUCCAUCUUUUUUUAUCCCACUAAAGACAUAUUCUUCGUGCUCCAAAUUAAAAUACAAAUACCCUUCCUCGACAACCCAACUUCUGAACUAAAAAGCUCUACCAAACCACUAAAAUUCUUCAAGUAAUAGAAUUUCACGAACAAAAUGCAAAUGGAGAUUAAGACGUUCUUAAAUCAGCGAUUUAAAAACACAAUUUAAAGUCGAGCAGGUGCGUGCUAUCUCUUUCGGCGAAGAUCGAGAAUUUCGAAAUAGACGAGGAGCAACGUUGAACAUCGAAUUAAAGUAAAACGUCGGAGGAACAACCGGAGAACCGAGUGACCAAAUAAACCGUGGACCGAGAUUAAUGGAGCAGGGGAAACGCGGCAGUUUGCUUAAUUUUCGCGGGGUUAAGGAACGCGAAAUCGAAUGGUAACCUGCUGGAGAUUUGCUGGAAACGAGGAAGAAGAAUCGAUUACGGGGUUGAAUGUCCCUAGUUGCUUCGGAUAAUCGAAAUUGAUACGUUUCCCGUAAUUCGGUGACGUUUUUCACGUCUGGUUACUUCCGAUGGGAAAAUAUCGAUUUUUUUGUACUUUAUGGUUUAGAUAAUACUACAACGCCUGCGUAUUUCUCGAUAGCAAAAUAUCCAAUUUUUAUUCGUAAUACAACGUACGAGAAUAUUUAAAUGUUUCCUUUAUACUCUAAUUUCUCCUUAAACUACAAAUUUAAUUACAAAGUUAACCACCGUGAGAAGGCAAGAAGAACUAUAUUUGUGACUGUCGAGAGCAAAGUUGCUUUUUCUACGGUAGAUGAAGAAAGAAAUCGAGGGGGAGAGAUUUCUUUCGUGAUCGAAGGCUGGAGCCGAUAAACCGGAAGCCGAUUAAAUUUAUAGACCAGGAAGAAAGGUCCUUUGUCGUUUCUUGUGAAUUUCGUAUUACAAUGGAGGAUUAAAGUGUGCGACGGACAGGCUCAUUGUAUCUUGCUGCCAGAUUUCAUUUU